CUCCCUGUAGUGCAAUGGAUAGCACGUUUGACUUCUAAUCUAAAGGUCAUGAGUUCGAUUCCCACCUGGGAAG
Trichonephila inaurata madagascariensis is the source of this 73-nucleotide non-coding RNA. Lineage: Eukaryota; Metazoa; Arthropoda; Arachnida; Araneae; Nephilidae. The record is from the annotation of a GenBank genome assembly.